Apis florea (little honeybee) is the source of this 711-nucleotide unclassified non-coding RNA. Lineage: Eukaryota; Metazoa; Arthropoda; Insecta; Hymenoptera; Apidae. The record is from RefSeq and is a predicted model, not a curated record.
GAAUAGAUGGCGUGUUUGUUUGAAAUAUCCGCUAGUAUGCAUUCAUGAAGUCUUAUGUCUAUUAUUAUAUAUUUUUUAACAAAUAUAAUUUGAUAAAUGAGAGAACGUUAUAAGCAUAUUUUUCUUAAAUAUUUAAAAGAUUAGUAAUUAUAAUAUUUUUAAAUAUGUAAUGAUAAUUAAUGUUAAACAAAGUGUGAAGUUCUUCGUAAUAUUCAAAGUGCGUAGUUCAUCGUUUGCUUCUAACUUCCUCUCACAAAAAUUACAUUUCUAUUAGUAUUUAAAACAUCAUAUAAAUAUCAACUUUUUUAUUUGGUUAAUUAUUUGAUGUAUAUAUAAUAGAAGUCGAUAUGUUGAUUAAUAUGAAACGCAUCUAAUGUAUUUCUUCUCUUUUGAUUUUAAUUGGAGCAUGUACCAGACUUUAUGGAUUACAAUCGUAGCAUUUGUAUUUAUAAAUGUUGAAAAAUGCCACCAAAACAAAGAAAAAUAGCUAUUAUGGGUUAUAGAUCCGUAGGCAAGUCAUCACUGAGUAUACAAUUCGUCGAGGGACAGUUCGUGGAUUCAUAUGAUCCUACUAUAGAAAAUAGUAAGAAGUACCUGUAUCGUCUUACACGCUACUUCAAAGAUUUCUAAUGACACUGUUAGUAGUAUUUUCUGCACAUUUUGUUAGUAAUUCAUGCUGUAAACAAGCAAUAGAUUCAUGAAAACUUAUUA